RNAcentral lists this ribosomal RNA (849 nucleotides) under uncultured fungus. RNAcentral's name for it is "SSU rRNA". It matches the Rfam family "Eukaryotic small subunit ribosomal RNA", at positions 564 to 1444 of the family's 1831-position model. The record is from RNAcentral. Lineage: Eukaryota; Fungi.
GUGCCAGCAGCCGCGGUAAUUCCAGCUCCAAUAGCGUAUAUUAAAGUUGUUGUGGUUAAAAAGCUCGUAGUUGAACCUUGGGCCUGGCUGGCCGGUCCGCCUCACCGCGUGCACUGGUCCGGCCGGGCCUUUCCCUCUGUGGAACCCCAUACCCUUCACUGGGCGUGGCGGGGAAACAGGACAUUUACUUUGAAAAAAUUAGAGUGCUCCAGGCAGGCCUAUGCUCGAAUACAUUAGCAUGGAAUAAUAAAAUAGGACGCGCGGUUCUAUUUUGUUGGUUUAUAGGACCGCCGUAAUGAUUAAUAGGGACAGUCGGGGGCAUCAGUAUUCAACUGUCAGAGGUGAAAUUCUUGGAUCAGUUGAAGACUAACUACUGCGAAAGCAUUUGCCAAGGAUGUUUUCAUUAAUCAGGAACGAAAGUUAGGGGAUCGAAGACGAUCAGAUACCGUCGUAGUCUUAACCAUAAACUAUGCCGACUAGGGAUCGGACGGUGUUAUUCAUGACCCGUUCGGCACCUUACGAGAAAUCAAAGUGCUUGGGCUUCAGGGGGAGUAUGGUCGCAAGGCUGAAACCUAAAGAAAUUGACGGAAGGGCACCACCAGGGGUGGAGCCUGCGGCUUAAUUUGACUCAACACGGGGAAACUCACCAGGUCCAGACACAAUAAGGAUUGACAGAUUGAGAGCUCUUUCUUGAUUUUGUGGUGGUGAUGCAUGGACGUUCUUAGUUGGUGGGGUGACUUGUCUGCUUAAUUGCGAUAACGAACGAGACCUUAACCUGCUAAAUAGCCCGCAUUGCUCCGGCAGUGCGCUGGCUUCUUAGAGGGACUUUCGGCUCAAGCCGAAGGAAGU